AUUGAACGCUGGCGGCAUGCCUUACACAUGCAAGUCGAACGGUAACAGGUCUUCGGAUGCUGACGAGUGGCGAACGGGUGAGUAAUACAUCGGAACGUGCCUAGUAGUGGGGGAUAACUACUCGAAAGAGUGGCUAAUACCUCAUGAGAUCUACGGAUGAAAGCAGGGGAUAGCAAGACCUUGUGCUACUAAAGCGGCCGGUGGCAGAUUAGGUAGGUGGUGGGAUAAAAGCUUACCAAGCCGACGAUCUGUAGCUGGUCUGAGAGGACGAUCAGCCACACUGGGACUGAGACACGGCCCAGACUCCUACGGGAGGCAGCAGUGGGGAAUUUUGGACAAUGGGCGCAAGCCUGAUCCAGCAAUGCCGCGUGCAGGAUGAAGGCCUUCGGGUUGUAAACUGCUUUUGUACGGAACGAAAAGCCCCGGGUUAAUACCCUGGGGUCAUGACGGUACCGUAAGAAUAAGCACCGGCUAACUACGUGCCAGCCGCCGCAGUAA
Molecule: ribosomal RNA, 498 nt
Filed under: uncultured bacterium
Lineage: Bacteria
Description: partial 16S ribosomal RNA
Rfam family: Bacterial small subunit ribosomal RNA
Source: RNAcentral